UUCGUGAGCACGGAAUGUUUUUCCAUUUGUUUGUAUCAUCGGUGCGUUCUCUGAGCAGUGUUUUGUAGUUCUCCUUGUAGAGAUCUUUUAUUUCCCUGGUUAGCUGUAUUCCUGGGUGUUUUAUUCUUAUUGUGGCAAUUGUGAAUGGGAUAUUGUUCCUGAUUUGACUCUCGGCUUGACGGAUGUUGGUGCAGAGGAAUGCUAGUGAUUUCCGCACACACAUUUGUGUCUGCACUUUUUGCUAAAGCUGUUUACCAGUUGAAGGAGUUUUUGGCCUGAGACUAUGGGGUUUUCUAGAUAUAGGAUUAUGUUGUCUGCAAACAGGGUUAGCUUGGCUUUCUCUCUUCCUGUUUGAAUGACCUUUAUCUCUUCCUCUUGCCUGAUUGCUCUGUUUGAGGCUUCUAAUGCUAGGAAGUGGAGAGAGGUAUCUUGUGCCAGUUUUCAAGGGGAACACUACCAGCUUUUGCCCAUUUAUUAUGAUGUUGCCUGUGGGUUUGUCAUAGAUGGCUCUUAUUAUUUUGAGUGGAAAUUGCUAUUUCUCAUCUAAAGUUUUCUGAAUGGCAGCAGGGAGCUUCUGGAGGGUGAGUUACCUGCUCUGCACAGGGAGGCUGAGGCCAAGACUUGUGUGGUGGAUCUGCUGCCACCAAGUGGUGAGGGAGGGAGCCUGGGAGAGUCUCAGUGUUUCUGGGCUUCAGUGUGUCCUGAUCAGUAAGGUAGAGGCUUAUUGUACCUCUCUGAGGUCCCUUUGUGCUCUGUUUUCUCUGAGCUUCUGAGGAACUGAGAUGCUUUUCAAUACUGCCUGGGACCUUCAGCUGAGACCUGACUCUGUGUCCUUUGCAGGAGCCUGAGCUGAGCCUACACGCUGGAAUCCCAGAGCUGCGGGAACAGGUGGAAGAAAGAAAGUCAGCAGGUUUAGGGGAUGAGAAUAAUCCACAAAGGACAAGCCAUUGCUGCAGGGAUCAGACUGACACCCACAUCUAUCGUGCAUCCCCUGUCUACUUCUCCGCAGAUACCUGGAAAUGGAAUGGCCAGAUCAAGAGCUCAGUCACAUUGGAUAUACACAGCAGGAAUGAAGGACCAGUAUUUUCUGGGUCUCUCUCUCAAGUGGAUGAGCUUCAGAGAUUCAUGUAGUCUUUGGCCACCCUGCCUGUCUUCUAUUCCAGUAAAAGAAUCGCUGUAAUGAAGGGUCCUUAAAAGAGGAGGUGGAUGACCUGACUUGGGCGGGGACUCCAAGAGGAGUGUCUGCCUUGCUGUGCAGUGUGCAGUGUUCGUGCCAAGGGCUUGAGACAGCUUGUGUGACUCACCCCAUUUUGGCUGCUGGACCCAUCUGCACUCCCCCCUCUCUAGGGCUGUCGAGCUGAGACAAAGGCCGCAGGCUGAGUCACUGAGGCAAAAACAGAAUACAAAGCAAAGGUCUGUGGUUUAUGAGGACAUUGUGCUGUCUGCUUUCAUGUCCCCAUCAGUCUCUGUAUAAGCAAUAAACUUGCUGCAAUUGAGAUGCCUAAGAGGGACAAGAGGCCCCUGCCCAUAUUUUCCCUGCACCUAAGCCUUUGAUCUAACUCCUGAUGGAAAAACAGGAUUAACAAGCCACCUUAAGGGCACCAUUGUUUGCUUGCACUGUGUAUCUUUGAAAAACAAACUGCUUUGUAAACUAUUAUCACAAGCUCCCUUAACCUGCUUUGUGAGCGGUUAUCACAAGCCCCUGAUAAGUGUUUUCAUGGAGUUUCUAUUUCCUUUCUGUUUACCCCUUUUCUGCUGAGAUAAAGUAAAUGCAACAAGAAAAAAGGUAUAAAAGCUGUAACCCACAAGAAUAAACUUGCUGCGUUGUGACCAUAAGUUACACAGACCUCCAGACUCCGCUUUACUAUUUUCUUUCACUUCCACGCACUCUCUCCCUCAGGUUGAACGAGACAUCUACACUGGCGGUCUCGGGGACUCCCACAGGUCGGUAGCCCCCCGGCAGAUGUGCCAGACCCCAACAGUGCAGAAACCUGCUGCAUAACCUCCCUGAUUCUCUUGCUCAGUCUCCUGGCCAGACCCUCAGAGUCCCUGCCCUGUGUGCCCUGGAAACUCAGUCAGAUGAGCCAAGGUAUCUCCAGCCCGGACUCAUCCCUGGGCAUUUUUGUGGCUUUGGGUGCCCUGAUCUUCUCCAGGUCUUGUCCUGCAAACAACUGACCUUCAGGGGGAGUCUGGGUAAGGAGGCUACUUGUCACUUAAAUCUAAGGGAUUCCAUAAGGUCCUGACUUGGGUCCUAGUCACUUGCAAACCUAUGCAUCUCCAUCCCAUCCCCCAAAUGAUGAAAGGAAACUUUGUCAGGACUCAUGCCAGACAAAUAGGGUGGGGCCUUUCAUAGAGCCAAGUUCUUAGGCCAUCAAUAAGAGAUGGAAACCACCUGAAGGAAGGUGCCACGGUGGGAAUCUGGGUGGCAGGAAGCAGUCACUGAACUGUCAGGGUGAAUCCUGGCCCUCACACACCCUUUCUCCUCCUGAACUCCUUGUCUCAUUUCUCCUGUCUGCUCUUUCCCCGCCUUUCCCAAGGCUCAAAACACUUGGUAACCUUGGACAGUUUCAAAACUGGAGAGAUUUGGCCACAACAUUUUCAAGCUAGGAAGGUCCCCCAGAACUAUUGUCUAAGUUUUUAUGUUGAUUAGAAGAGAACAAGAGAGUUUCCAUCUGAUCUGGUCCUAAGUCUCCCUGAGUCUGGGCAGGAAGCAGAGCAGAGUCUGGACAGGAAGCAGGAGGAUGCCCAGGGUCCUGGACUUGCCCCUCCUAGCUGCUCAGCUCCUCACCUGUUCACUGUGAGAGAGCUGCCCUGGAAUGGGGAAUCCAUGGUUUCCACAGAGGCUGGGAUCCCAGGCUCAAAUCUAAAUACUGGCUGAUUCAGGAGGCUAAGGGAGGCAAUUCCCUGGAGAGAGGUGUCAGGAUUUGGGACAAAAGCAGCAUCUAGUCGCUGUCCACAGAGACCUCAAGGACAGGAAUCCACUGGUUCCCAAUUGGAGGGGAUCCCAUGAAAAUGAAAUGAAACCCACAAGUUAGUACUAGACCGAAGACAGGAGAGUCGUCCUCGCGGCCCCCGUGGAGAGAUCGAGCUCAAGGACUGCAAGGCUGGCUCUCCCCUAGUAUGGCCAACGAAGAGGAUGACCCAGUCAUACAGGAGAUCCACGUGUACUUGGCCAAGAGUCUGGCAGAAAAGCUGUAUCUGUUUCAGUAUCCCGUGCA
Long non-coding RNA from Callithrix jacchus (white-tufted-ear marmoset), 3218 nucleotides. The record is from Ensembl. NCBI's taxonomy places the organism in Eukaryota, Metazoa, Chordata, Mammalia, Primates, Cebidae.